Molecule: ribosomal RNA, 822 nt
Filed under: Triticum aestivum (bread wheat)
Lineage: Eukaryota; Viridiplantae; Streptophyta; Magnoliopsida; Poales; Poaceae
Description: partial small subunit ribosomal RNA
Source: RNAcentral
UAUCUUGUCAUUUUAGAUGAUUUUUCGCACUAUGUGUGGACCUUCCCGUUGCGGCGGAAAUCCGAUGUCAUAUCCAUUCUCACCGCCUUUUACUCCUAUGUCACCACCCAGUUUGGUCGCCCCAUCCACGCUAUCCAAACCGACAACGGGAAGGAGUUCGACAACCUCGCGGUUCGCACCCUCCUCACCACACAUGGCACGAUAUUUCGUCUCACUUGUCCCUAUACCUCGCAACAAAAUGGGCGCGCAGAACGGGUCUUACGCACUCUUAACGAUUGUGUCCGCACCUUGUUAUUUCAUGCUAAUGUGCCACCCCGCUUCUGGCCCGAUGCACUUGCCACCGCAUCACGCCUCAUCAACAUUCGGCCUUGCCGCGUCCGCGGCAACUUUGCACCACACCACUUGCUUUUCGGGAGCCCCCCAUCCUAUGACGAUCUUCGCAUCUUCGGGUGCCUCUGCUAUCCCAGCAUCGCCUCUACCACCCCUCAUAAGCUCGCUCCUCGCUCUCUUGCGUGCAUCUUCUUGGGUUACCCUGCCAACACCAAGGGCUACCGCUGCUACGACCCUGUUUCUCACCGUGUCUUCACCUCUAGACACGUUUACUUUGACGAAAGGGUUUUUCCGUUUCAGCAGGUACCACCGACCGACUCGCCAGCGUCUUCACCUUCUGCUACUGGCGGCUCGGUCUCGGGCCUCCUUGGUGCGCCCCCGCGCCCUCGGGCCUCCCUCGGGCCGCCUCCUGGUUUCGGCCCCCUCCCCGCCUCGCGGGCUGCCGGCUCGGCGGCGGCUUCGGAGGGUUCGGCGCCCCGCUCGGCGGCUGCG